ACGGGUGAGGAACACGUAGGAACCUGCCCUUAAGCGGGGGACAACCAAGGGAAACUUUGGCUAAUACCGCAUAAACUCGAAAGAGCAAAGCUGCCCGCAAGGGUGGCACUUAAGGAGGGGCCUGCGUCCGAUUACCUAGUUGGUGAGGUAAAGGCUCACCAAGGCGAUGGUCGGUAACUGGUCUGAGAGGACGGCCAGUCACACUGGGACUGACACACGGCCCAAACUCCUACGGGAGGCAGCAGUGGGGAAUAUUGGACAAUGGGGGCAACCCUGAUCCAACGAUGCCGCGUGGGUGAACAAGGCCUUAAGGUUGUAAAGCCCUUUAGGUUGGGACGAAGUGUAGUAAUUGAUAAUGCUAUUGCAUUGACGGUACCAACAGAAUAAGCACCGGCAAACUCUGUGCCAGCAGCCGCGGUAAUACAGAGGGUGCAAGCGUUAAUCGGAGUUACUGGGCGUAAAGGGCGCGUAGGCGGUGAGAUGAGUGUGAUGUGAAAGCCCCGGGCUUAACCUGGGAAGUGCAUCGCAAACUGAUCUGACUGGAGUAUAAGAGAGGGUGGCGGAAUUUCCAGU
Molecule: ribosomal RNA, 573 nt
Filed under: uncultured bacterium
Lineage: Bacteria
Description: bacterial SSU rRNA
Rfam family: Bacterial small subunit ribosomal RNA
Source: RNAcentral